GCCUCGGUGGUGAAAUGGAUAUCACAGCAGUCUUCGGAACUGUCGUUCCAGGUUCGAGUCCUGGCCGAGGCA
RNAcentral lists this transfer RNA (72 nucleotides) under Patescibacteria group bacterium. RNAcentral's name for it is "tRNA-Arg". It matches the Rfam family "tRNA". From Rfam's summary of the family: Transfer RNA (tRNA) molecules are approximately 80 nucleotides in length. The record is from RNAcentral.